AGUGAACGCUGGCGGUAGGCCUAACACAUGCAAGUCGAACGGCAGCACAGUAAGAGCUUGCUCUUACGGGUGGCGAGUGGCGGACGGGUGAGGAAUACAUCGGAAUCUACUUUUUCGUGGGGGAUAGCGUAGGGAAACUUACGCUAAUACCGCAUACGACCUACGGGUGAAAGCAGGGGAUCUUCGGACCUUGCGCGAUUGAAUUAGCCGAUGUCGGAUUAGCUAGUUGGCGGGGUAAAGGCCCACCAAGGCGACGAUCCGUAGCUGGUCUGAGAGGAUGAUCAGCCACACUGGAACUGAGACACGGUCCAGACUCCUACGGGAGGCAGCAGUGGGGAAUAUUGGACAAUGGGCGCAAGCCUGAUCCAGCCAUACCGAGUGGGUGAAGAAGGCCUUCGGGUUGUAAAGCCCUUUUGUUGGGAAAGAAAAGCAGCAGGUUAAUACCCCGCUGUUCUGACGGUACCCAAAGAAUAAGCAACGGCUAACUUCGUG
RNAcentral lists this ribosomal RNA (492 nucleotides) under uncultured bacterium. RNAcentral describes it as "partial 16S ribosomal RNA". It matches the Rfam family "Bacterial small subunit ribosomal RNA", at positions 29 to 507 of the family's 1533-position model. The record is from RNAcentral.